RNAcentral lists this unclassified non-coding RNA (329 nucleotides) under soil metagenome. RNAcentral describes it as "partial contains 5.8S ribosomal RNA, internal transcribed spacer 2, and large subunit ribosomal RNA". The stretch from base 1 to 120 matches the Rfam family "5.8S ribosomal RNA", at positions 35 to 154 of the family's 154-position model. The record is from RNAcentral.
GAUGAAGAACGUAGCGAAAUGCGAUAAGUAGCGUGAAUUGCAGAAUUCAGUGAAUCAUCGAAUCUUUGAACGCACAUUGCGCCCCUUGGUAUCCCGAGGGGCAUGCCUGUUCGAGCGUCAUUUCACCACUCAAGCCUGGCUUGGUGUUGGGCGACGUCCUCUUUGGGGACGCGCCUCGAAACGCUCGGCGGCGUGGCACCGGCUUUAAGCGUAGCAGAAUCUUUCGCUUUGGAAGUCGGGGCCCCGUCUGCCGGAAGACCUGCUCGCAAGGUUGACCUCGGAUCAGGCAGGGAUACCCGCUGAACUUAAGCAUAUCAAUAAGCGGAGGA